Molecule: ribosomal RNA, 432 nt
Filed under: uncultured bacterium
Lineage: Bacteria
Description: partial 16S ribosomal RNA
Rfam family: Bacterial small subunit ribosomal RNA
Source: RNAcentral
AACGAACGCUGGCGGCAUGCCUAACACAUGCAAGUCGAACGAGACCUUCGGGUCUAGUGGCGCACGGUUUCGUAACGCGUGGGAACCUGCCCUUAGGUUCGGAAUAACUCCCCGAAAGGGGUGCUAAUACCGGAUAAUGUCUUCGGACCAAAGAUUUAUCGCCUUGGGAUGGGCCCGCGUUGGAUUAGCUAGUUGGUAGGGUAAAAGCCUACCAAGGCGACGAUCCAUAGCUGGUCUGAGAGGAUGAUCAGCAACACUGGGACUGAGACACGGCCCAGACUCCUACGGGAGGCAGAAGUGGGGAAUAUUGGACAAUGGGCGAAAGCCUGAUCCAGCAAUGCCGCGUGAGUGAUGAAGGCCUUAGGGUUGUAAAGCUCUUUUACCCGGGAUGAUAAUGACAGUACCGGGAGAAUAAGCUCCGGCUAACUCCGU